RNAcentral lists this ribosomal RNA (404 nucleotides) under Brucella melitensis. RNAcentral describes it as "partial 16S ribosomal RNA". It matches the Rfam family "Bacterial small subunit ribosomal RNA", at positions 355 to 776 of the family's 1533-position model. RNAcentral also lists the same sequence under 1 other name. Lineage: Bacteria; Pseudomonadati; Pseudomonadota; Alphaproteobacteria; Hyphomicrobiales; Brucellaceae. The record is from RNAcentral.
UGGGGAAUCUUGCGCAAUGGGCGAAAGCCUGACGCAGCCAUGCCGCGUGAAUGAUGAAGGUCUUAGGAUUGUAAAAUUCUUUCACCGGGGACGAUAAUGACGGUACCCGGAGAAGAAGCCCCGGCUAACUUCGUGCCAGCAGCCGCGGUAAUACGAAGGGGGCUAGCGUUGCUCGGAAUUACUGGGCGUAAAGGGAGCGUAGGCGGACAUUUAAGUCAGGGGUGAAAUCCCGGGGCUCAACCUCGGAAUUGCCUUUGAUACUGGGUGUCUUGAGUAUGAGAGAGGCGUGUGGAACUCCGAGUGUAGAGGUGAAAUUCGUAGAUAUUCGGAAGAACACCAGUGGCGAAGGCGACACACUGGCUCAUUACUGACGCUGAGGCUCGAAAGCGUGGGGAGCAAACAGG